GUAGCAUUUGGAGCGUCAGUCUACCGAGUAAUUUCACCCGCUCGGUGGAAGAUCUUCCCCUGGACGG
RNAcentral lists this microRNA precursor (67 nucleotides) under Bombyx mori (domestic silkworm). Its description in RNAcentral is "mir-2774 microRNA precursor family". It matches the Rfam family "mir-2774 microRNA precursor family". The record is from Rfam by way of RNAcentral. Lineage: Eukaryota; Metazoa; Arthropoda; Insecta; Lepidoptera; Bombycidae.